UGGGGGAUAUUGCACAAUGGGGGAAACCCUGAUGCAGCGACGCCGCGUGAGGGAAGACGGUCUUCUGGAUUGUAAACCUCUGUCUUCAGGGACGAUAAUGACGGUACCUGAGGAGGAAGCCACGGCUAACUACGUGCCAGCAGCCGCGGUAAUACGUAGGUGGCAAGCGUUGUCCGGAAUUACUGGGUGUAAAGGGAGCGUAGGCGGGGACGCAAGUUGAAUGUUUAAACUAUGGGCUCAACCCGUAGUCGCGUUCAAAACUGCGUUUCUUGAGUGAAGUAGAGGCAGGCGGAAUUCCUAGUGUAGCGGUGAAAUGCGUAGAUAUUAGGAGGAACACCAGUGGCGAAGGCGGCCUGCUGGGCUUUUACUGACGCUGAGGCUCGAAAGUGCGGGGAGCAAACAGG
RNAcentral lists this ribosomal RNA (404 nucleotides) under uncultured bacterium. RNAcentral describes it as "bacterial SSU rRNA". It matches the Rfam family "Bacterial small subunit ribosomal RNA", at positions 355 to 776 of the family's 1533-position model. The record is from RNAcentral.